AGUGAACGCUGGCGGUAGGCCUAACACAUGCAAGUCGAACGGCAGCACAGUAAGAGCUUGCUCUUACGGGUGGCGAGUGGCGGACGGGUGAGGAAUAGAUCGGAAUCUACUUUUUCGUGGGGGAUAACGUAGGGAAACUUACGCUAAUACCGCAUACAACCUACGGGUGAAAGCAGGGGAUCUUCGGACCUUUCGCGAUUGAAUGAGCCGAUGUCGGAUUAGCUAGUUGGCGGGGUAAAGGCCCACCAAGGCGACGAUCCGUAGCUGGUCUGAGAGGAUGAUCAGCCACACUGGAACUGAGACACGGUCCAGACUCCUACGGGAGGCAGCAGUGGGGAAUAUUGGACAAUGGGCGCAAGCCUGAUCCAGCAAUACCGCGUGGGUGAAGAAGGCCUUCGGGUUGUAAAGCCCUUUUGUUGGGAAAGAAAAGCAGCAGGUUAAUACCCCGCUGUUCUGACGGUACCCAAAGAAUAAGCACCGGCUAACUUCGUG
RNAcentral lists this ribosomal RNA (492 nucleotides) under uncultured bacterium. RNAcentral describes it as "partial 16S ribosomal RNA". It matches the Rfam family "Bacterial small subunit ribosomal RNA", at positions 29 to 507 of the family's 1533-position model. The record is from RNAcentral.